AGCUAGUUGGUGAGGUAGAGGCUCACCAAGGCGACGAUGUCUAGGGGGUCUGAGAGGAUGAUCCCCCACACUGGUACUGAGACACGGACCAGACUCCUACGGGAGGCAGCAGUGAGGAAUAUCGCGCAAUGGAGGAAACUCUGACGCAGCCAUCCCGCGUGCAGGAUUGACGGCCCUAUGGGUUGUAAACUGCUUUUCUAUACCAAGAAACACCGAUACGUGUAUCGGUUUGCCGGUAGUAUAGGAAUAAGCAUCGGCUAACUCCGUGCCAGCAGCCGCGGUAAUACGGAGGAUGCAAGCGUUAUCCGGAAUCACUGGGUUUAAAGGGUGCGCAGGCGGAAUAGUAAGUCAGAGGUGAAAGCCCACAGCUCAACUGUGGAAUUGCCUUUGAUACUGUUAUUCUUGAGUGUAGUUGAAGUAGGCGGAAUAUAGCAUGUAGCGGUGAAAUGCAUAGAUAUGCUAUAGAACACCAAUUGCGAAGGCAGCUUGCUAAACUAUAACUGACGCUGAGGCACGAAAGCGUGGGGAGCGAACAGGAUUAGAUACCCUGGUAGUCCACGCCGUAAACUAUGAACACUCGCUGUUGGCAAUACACAGUCAGCGGCUGAGCGAAAGCGUUAAGUGUUCCACCUGGGAAGUACGAUCGCAAGGUUGAAACUCAAAGGAAUUGACGGGGGCCCGCACAAGCGGAGGAGCAUGUGGUUUAAUUCGAUGAUACGCGAGGAACCUUACCUGGGCUUAAAUGUAUAUUGACGUACUGAGAAAUCAGUAUUUCUUCGGACAAUUUACAAGGUGCUGCAUGGUUGUCGUCAGCUCGUGCCGUGAGGUGUCGGGUUAAGUCCCAUAACGAGCGCAACCCCUACUUCUAGUUACCAGCAUUUCGGAUGGGGACUCUAGAGGAACUGCCUACGCAACUAGAGAGGAAGGUGGGGAUGACGUCAAAUCAGCACGGCCCUUAUGUCCAGGGCUACACACGUGCUACAAUGGCCGGUACAGAGGGCAGCUACAUAGCAAUAUGAUGCUAAUCUCAAAAGCCGGUCUCAGUCCGGAUUGGAGUCUGCAACUCGACUC
This 1071-nucleotide ribosomal RNA is filed under the name uncultured organism. RNAcentral describes it as "bacterial SSU rRNA". It matches the Rfam family "Bacterial small subunit ribosomal RNA", at positions 243 to 1318 of the family's 1533-position model. The record is from RNAcentral.